UACGUUCCCGGGCCUUGUACACACCGCCCGUCACACCAUGAAAGUUGGUAACACCCGAAGCCGGUGGCCCAACCCGUAAGGGGGGAGCCGUCGAAGGUGGGAUCAGCGAUUGGGGUG
This 117-nucleotide ribosomal RNA is filed under the name uncultured bacterium. Its description in RNAcentral is "partial 16S ribosomal RNA". It matches the Rfam family "Bacterial small subunit ribosomal RNA", at positions 1367 to 1482 of the family's 1533-position model. The record is from RNAcentral.